Phacochoerus africanus (Common warthog) is the source of this 3411-nucleotide RNA transcript. It is a transcript of the gene named SPNS lysolipid transporter 2, sphingosine-1-phosphate, with no coding region annotated. The transcript has 13 exons. NCBI's taxonomy places the organism in Eukaryota, Metazoa, Chordata, Mammalia, Artiodactyla, Suidae. The record is from RefSeq and is a predicted model, not a curated record.
CCGCGGUGCAUCGGGCUGAAACGGUGGCAGCGCCGCAGCCGGGACCGGAGCGCAGGAGCCGACGGGGCCCAGCCGGGAUGGUGCAGCAGCGGCUCCGCGGUGCACACACGCACUGAGUGGGCCCAAGCUGGGCCCCGCGCCCCCCGCGCCCCCCGCCGCCCCGAUCCCGGCCGGCAUGAUGUGCCUGGAAUGCGUCUCGGCGGCGGCGGGCGGCGCGGAGGAGGAGGAGGCGGACGCGGAGCGGCGGCGCCGGCGCCGGGGGGCGCAGCGAGGAGCUGGCGGUGGUGGUUGCUGCGGGGCGCGGACAGCGGGCGCCGCUGGAGUCGCGACCGCCGACGAUGAGGUGCAGACGCUGUCGGCCAGUGUGAGACGGGCCCCUUCCGGACCCCCCAGCACUCCCAGCACCCCAAGCUGCGCAGCCGCUGCCAAGGGCUCGGGCGCACAGCAGCCCAAACCAGCCAGCUUGGGCCGCGGGCCGGGAGCAGCCGCCGCCAUCCUCAGCUUGGGCAACGUGCUCAACUACCUGGACAGGUACACCGUAGCAGGCGUCCUCCUGGACAUCCAGCAGCACUUCGGGGUCAAGGACCGUGGCGCCGGCUUGCUGCAGUCAGUGUUCAUCUGCAGCUUCAUGGUGGCUGCCCCCAUCUUUGGCUACCUGGGCGACCGCUUCAACAGGAAGGUGAUCCUCAGCUGCGGGAUUUUCUUCUGGUCGGCGGUCACGUUCUCCAGCUCCUUCAUCCCCCAGCAGCACUUCUGGCUGCUGGUCCUGUCCCGCGGGCUGGUGGGCAUCGGCGAGGCCAGCUACUCCACCAUCGCGCCCACCAUCAUCGGCGACCUCUUCACCAAGAACACGCGCACGCUCAUGCUGUCCGUCUUCUACUUCGCCAUCCCGCUGGGCAGCGGCCUGGGCUACAUCACUGGCUCCAGCGUGAAGCAGGCGGCUGGAGACUGGCACUGGGCCUUGCGGGUGUCUCCCAUCUUGGGCAUGAUCACGGGAACGCUCAUCCUCGUCCUGGUCCCCGCCACGAAGAGAGGCCACGCAGACCAGCUCGGGGGGCAGCUCAAGGCACGGACGUCGUGGCUCCGAGACAUGAGGGCCCUGAUCCGCAACCGCAGCUACGUCUUCUCCUCCCUGGCCACGUCGGCUGUGUCCUUCGCCACAGGGGCCCUGGGCAUGUGGAUCCCGCUCUACCUGCACCGCGCCCAAGUCGUGCAGAAGACGGCAGAGGCGUGCAGCAGCCCGCCCUGUGGGGCCAAGGACAGCCUCAUCUUUGGAGCCAUCACCUGCUUUACGGGUUUCCUUGGUGUGGUCACGGGGGCAGGAGCCACGCGCUGGUGCCGCCUGCGGACCCAGAGGGCUGACCCACUGGUGUGUGCUGUGGGCAUGCUGGGCUCUGCCAUCUUCAUCUGCCUCAUCUUCGUGGCUGCCAAGACCAGCAUCGUGGGGGCCUAUAUCUGCAUCUUUGUUGGGGAGACGCUGCUGUUUUCCAACUGGGCCAUCACAGCGGACAUCCUCAUGUAUGUGGUCAUCCCCACCAGACGGGCCACCGCCGUGGCCCUGCAGAGUUUCACCUCCCACCUGCUGGGGGACGCCGGAAGCCCCUACCUCAUCGGCUUUAUCUCUGACCUGAUCCGCCAGAGUACCAAGGACUCCCCGCUCUGGGAGUUCCUGAGCCUGGGCUACGCCCUCAUGCUCUGCCCCUUCGUCGUGGUCCUGGGUGGCAUGUUCUUCCUGGCCACCGCGCUCUUCUUCCUCAGCGACCGCGCCAAGGCUGAGCAGCAGUCCCUGCCCAGCACGUCCGGUCUGCCAGCCCCCGUGACGCGAUGCGCCAGAGCAGUGCCCGGGCCCGGCCCCCGCUGAUCCGCCACCUUGACCCCCGCCCGUCUCUCCCUCAGGGUGAACCAGCUGGUGAUGCCACCCGCUUCUGUGAAGGUCUGAGCCGGUGCCGCUGGGACAGUGAAGAGCCCCUGCUCCUACCUGGGCUGGGAGGUGUCCCCAGGCACCCUGGCCCUGCUGGGCCAUCCCGAAGCUUUCCAUGUGACCCACGGCUGGGGACCCACCGGCUCUGGUCCGGGACUGCUGAGUGGCCCUGGCUCCAGGAGGCCGUGUCCUCAACUAACCUGGGAGCCUGUGUGUGCUGGAGCCACGGACAGACCCCUAGGCCUGGGUCUGGGCCGCAGGGGUCCUGGGGCCCAGCAAGACGACAGCCCCCAGGGGACAUGUGGGGAGAGACUGGCCUGUCCCCAGCUUAUGUGAUCCGGGGGAAGUCCCUGCCCUCCCCAGACCGCGGGGCCAGGGGGCCGAACUUUCCCACAGAGCUUGCUGGGCAAGGCACCCUCCGCUGUCCUGAAGACCCAACCACCCCUGGACUGCACAGAGCAGAGGCGGCCCAGGCCUCACGGCGGCACUUCAGGCUCUGAGUGAGGACCACGGCCUUUCAGUUGGGCCUGACCUUGGGGACACUGGACUCAACCUGGCAGAGGUGGGCCCCCAAGUUACCAGGUGCUUCUCCGGCUGGCUGGUCACGCUGGAGAACCCUUGUCUCUGCUGCCUCUGGGGAUGUCAGCCUGGAGGUCUUCCAGGGGGGGACCACCCUGACCGGGAGCUGGCCGCAUCAGGGGUGAAGGCCCUGGUGGCAGCCACACAGCAACCUGGGCCCCAGACUUGAGGCCUUUGGGGGUUCCCCGCCCCUCCAGGGCUCCUCAGAUCCACCACAGCACCCCUGCCGUCCUCCCUGAGCCACCACAGAAGCCAAGAAUUGACUCCAGCCCCCCACCCCCAGGCUGGGUCCUUUCCAGGCGCAGGGCCCAGGGGGCAAUUCCCAGAAUCCACGCAGGAGCAGCCAGGGCUCUGGCUGCCGGAGGAAGCAGCAGCCGCUAAGCUUCCUGUCCAGGGAAGAGCCUGGUGGAGGUGGGGGCCCAUCGGAAGGCCGAGACCCCCAGCCACCUCCCCGCCAGACCCCUGGCCCUCUUGUGGAGUGUCUCCUCUCUCCUCUGCUCCCCACGCACCCUUCCCGAUUGCUGGAAUCAAGGUGGUUCUGGUCUGGGUGCCUCUCGUGGCCAGCGGGAGCCCGAGAGCCAGCCUAGCAUUCUCCGUCCCUAGUUCCUGGCUGCCAUGGCUUCAAUGGUGGGUAAGUUGGUGGGGAACCCACUCCCCACCAAGCUCUGGGGCCCCCUGCGGGGUGGGAUCCCCCAAAGACCAGCCUGGCCUCCACUCCCACCCCAGCCUCAACGGGGGCCCCAGCAAUGUUUUCUUGUUGUACAAGAACCAGGUCCAAGUGUUGCUUCCUCUUCCUUCCGGAAGCCAAACUGCUCCUUUAUUUUUUAGAGCUGCUGAUUGUGAAUCUCAGAGUCUUUAAGAGAGAAGCCAAAUAUAUUCCUCUUGUAAAUGAAUAAAGCUAUUUAAAUCAC